RNAcentral lists this ribosomal RNA (2988 nucleotides) under Salmonella enterica subsp. enterica serovar Typhimurium. RNAcentral's name for it is "bacterial LSU rRNA". It matches the Rfam family "Bacterial large subunit ribosomal RNA". The record is from RNAcentral. Lineage: Bacteria; Pseudomonadati; Pseudomonadota; Gammaproteobacteria; Enterobacterales; Enterobacteriaceae.
UUAAGCGACUAAGCGUACACGGUGGAUGCCCUGGCAGUCAGAGGCGAUGAAGGACGUGCUAAUCUGCGAUAAGCGCCGGUAAGGUGAUAUGAACCGUUAUAACCGGCGAUUUCCGAAUGGGGAAACCCAGUGUGAUUCGUCACACUAUCAUUAACUGAAUCCAUAGGUUAAUGAGGCGAACCGGGGGAACUGAAACAUCUAAGUACCCCGAGGAAAAGAAAUCAACCGAGAUUCCCCCAGUAGCGGCGAGCGAACGGGGAGGAGCCCAGAGCCUGAAUCAGCAUGUGUGUUAGUGGAAGCGUCUGGAAAGGCGCGCGAUACAGGGUGACAGCCCCGUACACAAAAGCGCAUGUGCUGUGAGCUCGAUGAGUAGGGCGGGACACGUGGUAUCCUGUCUGAAUAUGGGGGGACCAUCCUCCAAGGCUAAAUACUCCUGACUGACCGAUAGUGAACCAGUACCGUGAGGGAAAGGCGAAAAGAACCCCGGCGAGGGGAGUGAAAAAGAACCUGAAACCGUGUACGUACAAGCAGUGGGAGCACCCUUCGGGGUGUGACUGCGUACCUUUUGUAUAAUGGGUCAGCGACUUAUAUUCUGUAGCAAGGUUAACCGUAUAGGGGAGCCGGAGGGAAACCGAGUCUUAAUUGGGCGUUAAGUUGCAGGGUAUAGACCCGAAACCCGGUGAUCUAGCCAUGGGCAGGUUGAAGGUUGGGUAACACUAACUGGAGGACCGAACCGACUAAUGUUGAAAAAUUAGCGGAUGACCUGUGGCUGGGGGUGAAAGGCCAAUCAAACCGGGAGAUAGCUGGUUCUCCCCGAAAGCUAUUUAGGUAGCGCCUCGUGAAUUCAUCUCCGGGGGUAGAGCACUGUUUCGGCUAGGGGGCCAUCCCGGCUUACCAACCCGAUGCAAACUGCGAAUACCGGAGAAUGUUAUCACGGGAGACACACGGCGGGUGCUAACGUCCGUCGUGAAGAGGGAAACAACCCAGACCGCCAGCUAAGGUCCCAAAGUCAUGGUUAAGUGGGAAACGAUGUGGGAAGGCCCAGACAGCCAGGAUGUUGGCUUAGAAGCAGCCAUCAUUUAAAGAAAGCGUAAUAGCUCACUGGUCGAGUCGGCCUGCGCGGAAGAUGUAACGGGGCUAAACCAUGCACCGAAGCUGCGGCAGCGAACGUAUCACCCAAGACAACUUUACGGAGUUGACGAUUGACGGAGCGAAGCGACGUCAAAGCGUUCAUUAAAGUCGAGUUGGCUUAGGGAUACGUUCGUUGGGUAGGGGAGCGUUCUGUAAGCCUGUGAAGGUGUGUCGUGAGGCAUGCUGGAGGUAUCAGAAGUGCGAAUGCUGACAUAAGUAACGAUAAAGCGGGUGAAAAGCCCGCUCGCCGGAAGACCAAGGGUUCCUGUCCAACGUUAAUCGGGGCAGGGUGAGUCGACCCCUAAGGCGAGGCCGAAAGGCGUAGUCGAUGGGAAACGGGUUAAUAUUCCCGUACUUGGUGUUACUGCGAAGGGGGGACGGAGAAGGCUAUGUUGGCCGGGCGACGGUUGUCCCGGUUUAAGGGUGUAGGUGUGUGUUCCAGGUAAAUCCGGUUCACUUUAACACUGAGGCGUGACGACGAGGCACUACGGUGCUGAAGCAACAAAUGCCCUGCUUCCAGGAAAAGCCUCUAAGCAUCAGGUAACACGAAAUCGUACCCCAAACCGACACAGGUGGUCAGGUAGAGAAUACCAAGGCGCUUGAGAGAACUCGGGUGAAGGAACUAGGCAAAAUGGUGCCGUAACUUCGGGAGAAGGCACGCUGACACGUAGGUGAAGUGAUUUACUCAUGGAGCUGAAGUCAGUCGAAGAUACCAGCUGGCUGCAACUGUUUAUUAAAAACACAGCACUGUGCAAACACGAAAGUGGACGUAUACGGUGUGACGCCUGCCCGGUGCCGGAAGGUUAAUUGAUGGGGUCAGCGUAAGCGAAGCUCCUGAUCGAAGCCCCGGUAAACGGCGGCCGUAACUAUAACGGUCCUAAGGUAGCGAAAUUCCUUGUCGGGUAAGUUCCGACCUGCACGAAUGGCGUAAUGAUGGCCAGGCUGUCUCCACCCGAGACUCAGUGAAAUUGAACUCGCUGUGAAGAUGCAGUGUACCCGCGGCAAGACGGAAAGACCCCGUGAACCUUUACUAUAGCUUGACACUGAACAUUGAGCCUUGAUGUGUAGGAUAGGUGGGAGGCUUUGAAGUGUGGACGCCAGUCUGCAUGGAGCCGACCUUGAAAUACCACCCUUUAAUGUUUGAUGUUCUAACGUGGACCCGUAAUCCGGGUUGCGGACAGUGUCUGGUGGGUAGUUUGACUGGGGCGGUCUCCUCCUAAAGAGUAACGGAGGAGCACGAAGGUUGGCUAAUCCUGGUCGGACAUCAGGAGGUUAGUGCAAUGGCAUAAGCCAGCUUGACUGCGAGCGUGACGGCGCGAGCAGGUGCGAAAGCAGGUCAUAGUGAUCCGGUGGUUCUGAAUGGAAGGGCCAUCGCUCAACGGAUAAAAGGUACUCCGGGGAUAACAGGCUGAUACCGCCCAAGAGUUCAUAUCGACGGCGGUGUUUGGCACCUCGAUGUCGGCUCAUCACAUCCUGGGGCUGAAGUAGGUCCCAAGGGUAUGGCUGUUCGCCAUUUAAAGUGGUACGCGAGCUGGGUUUAGAACGUCGUGAGACAGUUCGGUCCCUAUCUGCCGUGGGCGCUGGAGAACUGAGGGGGGCUGCUCCUAGUACGAGAGGACCGGAGUGGACGCAUCACUGGUGUUCGGGUUGUCAUGCCAAUGGCACUGCCCGGUAGCUAAAUGCGGAAGAGAUAAGUGCUGAAAGCAUCUAAGCACGAAACUUGCCCCGAGAUGAGUUCUCCCUGAGACUUAGAGUCUCCUGAAGGAACGUUGAAGACGACGACGUUGAUAGGCCGGGUGUGUAAGCGCAGCGAUGCGUUGAGCUAACCGGUACUAAUGAACCGUGAGGCUUAACCUU